AUGUCGAGUUCUUCAUCUUCCGCCGCCAUGAUUGCACCCUCGAUCGCUGCUCUUGGCCACACCAUCACCGAGAAGCUCACGCGCGAGAACUUUCUCGUGUGGAGGGCGCAAGUCCUGCCGCACAUCAAGGCGGCAGGGAUGACCGGCUACAUCGACGGCUCCAUCAAGGAGCCCGCUGCUGAGAUCGCCACGGAGAAAGAAGUCUCCGGCAAGAAGGUGGUCACCUUCGUGGCCAACCCCGAGCACGCCAUAUGGGUCACCCAGGACCAGCAGAGUUUCUCGUCGCAAUCCAGGGCGAGGGUGAUCCAGCUCCGCUCACAGCUCGAGCAUACCCGCAAGGGCGACCUUUCUGCGGCGGCCUACUUCACCAAGAUGAAGGGCAUCGCCGACGAACUUGCAGCCGCCGGCAAGUCGCUUGAUGAGGAUGAUGUGGUCGACCACAUCCUGCAAGGUCUUCUUCAUGAACCGGACUACAAUGGGUUCGUCUCCGCCAUCUCCACGCGCACGGCAACCGAGUAG
RNAcentral lists this ribosomal RNA (519 nucleotides) under Triticum aestivum (bread wheat). Its description in RNAcentral is "partial small subunit ribosomal RNA". Lineage: Eukaryota; Viridiplantae; Streptophyta; Magnoliopsida; Poales; Poaceae. The record is from RNAcentral.